GUCUACAGCCAUGCCACCCUGAACAAGCUCAAUCCCGUCUGAUCUCAGAAGCUAAGCAGGGUCAGGCCUGGUUAGUACUUGGAUGGGAGACCACCUAGGAAGACUAGAUGCUGUAGACG
RNAcentral lists this ribosomal RNA (119 nucleotides) under Pteropus alecto (black flying fox). Lineage: Eukaryota; Metazoa; Chordata; Mammalia; Chiroptera; Pteropodidae. RNAcentral also lists the same sequence under 1 other name. The record is from RNAcentral.